This 789-nucleotide ribosomal RNA is filed under the name uncultured archaeon. RNAcentral's name for it is "bacterial SSU rRNA". It matches the Rfam family "Archaeal small subunit ribosomal RNA", at positions 85 to 879 of the family's 1478-position model. The record is from RNAcentral.
ACGGCUCAGUAACACGUGGAUAACCUGCCCUAAGGAAGGGGAUAACCCCGGGAAACUGGGGAUAAUACCCUAUAGGUUACCAAUGCUGGAAUGCUUGGUAACCGAAAGUUCCGGCGCCUUAGGAUGGAUCUGCGGCCGAUUAGGUUGUUGUUGGGGUAAUGGCCCAACAAGCCAGUAAUCGGUACGGGUUGUGGGAGCAAGAGCCCGGAGUUGGAUUCUGAGACACGAAUCCAGGCCCUACGGGGCGCAGCAGGCGCGAAAACUUUACAAUGCGGGCAACCGUGAUAAGGGAACCUCGAGUGCCUGUAUAUGCAGGCUGUCUGGGUGUCUAAAACACACCCAAAGAAAGGGCCGGGCAAGACCGGUGCCAGCCGCCGCGGUAAUACCGGCGGCUCGAGUGGUGGCCACUUUUAUUGGGCUUAAAGCGUUCGUAGCUGGGUUAUUAAGUCCCUUGGGAAAUCCGACAGCUCAACUGUCGGGCGUCUAAGAGAUACUGGUAAUCUUGGAACCGGGAGAGGUGAGGGGUACUUCGGGGGUAGGAGUGAAAUCCUGUAAUCCUCGAGGGACCACCUGUGGCGAAGGCGCCUCACCAGAACGGCUUCGACAGUGAGGGACGAAAGCUGGGGGAGCAAACCGGAUUAGAUACCCGGGUAGUCCCAGCCGUAAACGAUGUGCGUUAGGUGUAUCGGUGACCACGAGUCACCGAGGUGCCGAAGGGAAACCGUGAAACGUACCGCCUGGGAAGUACGGUCGCAAGGCUGAAACUUAAAGGAAUUGGCGGGGGAGCAC